This 274-nucleotide ribosomal RNA is filed under the name uncultured bacterium. RNAcentral's name for it is "partial 16S ribosomal RNA". It matches the Rfam family "Bacterial small subunit ribosomal RNA", at positions 523 to 796 of the family's 1533-position model. The record is from RNAcentral.
AUACGGAGGGUGCGAGCGUUAAUCGGAAUUACUGGGCGUAAAGCGCGCGUAGGCGGUUUGGUCAGUCGGAUGUGAAAGCCCUGGGCUCAACCUGGGAAUGGCAUUCGAUACUGCCUGACUAGAGUAUGGUAGAGGGAAGUGGAAUUUCCGGUGUAGCGGUGAAAUGCGUAGAUAUCGGAAGGAACACCAGUGGCGAAGGCGACUUCCUGGGCCAAUACUGACGCUGAGGUGCGAAAGCGUGGGGAGCAAACAGGAUUAGAUACCCCUGUAGUCC